This 2521-nucleotide ribosomal RNA is filed under the name human gut metagenome. RNAcentral's name for it is "bacterial LSU rRNA". It matches the Rfam family "Bacterial large subunit ribosomal RNA", at positions 1 to 2475 of the family's 2925-position model. The record is from RNAcentral.
UGAAGAUAUUAAGGGCACACGGUGGAUGCCUUGGCAUAGGAAGCCGAAGAAGGACGUGGCAAGCUGCGAUAAGCCGCGGCGAGGCGCAAACAGCCUCCGACCCGCGGAUCUCCGAAUGGGGGAACCCGGCAGGGCCAAUACCCUGCCAUCAUUAGCUGAAUCAAAUAGGCUUUUGGAAGGCAACCCGGGGAACUGAAACAUCUAAGUACCCGGAGGAAAGGAAAUCAACCGAGACUGCGCGAGUAGCGGCGAGCGAAAGCGCAACAGCCUAAACCCGUGCGCGUGUAAGCCUCCAGGCGUUGCCGCACGUGGGGUCGUGGGACCCUCUCGUCCCGUCGCUGGAGCGGCGGGGUCGGGUCAGAAACCGGUUCGUCAGGGGAAGCGGCUGGGAAGCCGCGCGAGACAGGGUGAGAGCCCCGUACCCGAAGGCGAGCCGGCCCGUAGAGAGGGCUCCCGAGUAGCGCCGGACACGUGAAACCCGGUGCGAAGCUGGGGGGACCACCCUCCAAGGCUAAGCACUCUCCUAUGACCGAUAGCGAACCAGUACCGUGAGGGAAAGGUGAAAAGCACCCCGAGAGGGGAGUGAAACAGUACCUGAAACCGUGUGCCUACAAGCAGUCGGAGCACCCUUCGCGGUGUGACGGCGUGCCUUUUGUAGAAUGAGCCAGCGAGUUGCGGUUGGCGGCGAGGUUAAGGCAAGAACCGAGCCGCAGUGAAAGCGAGCCUUUAAGAUGGCGAUCAGUCGCCAGCCGCAGACGCGAAGCCGGGUGAUCUAUCCAUGGGCAGGCUGAGGCAGAGGUAAGACUCUGUGGAGGGCCGAACCCACUUCGGUUGAAAACGGAGGGGAUGACCUGUGGAUAGGGGUGAAAGGCCAAUCAAACCCGGAGAUAUCUCGUUCUCCCCGAAAUAGCUUUAGGGCUAGCCUCGAUCGCUUACCCGCGGUGGUAGAGCACUGGAUCCGUGCGGGGGCCUCACCGCCUACCAACCGAAACCAAACUCCGAAUGCCGCGGGUCCCGAGAUCGGGAGUCAGAACAUGUGGGCUAAGCCGUGUGUUCGAGAGGGAAACAGCCCAGACCGCCUGCUAAGGUCCCCAAAUCAACGCUGAGUGGCAAAGGAUGUGCGUUUGCCUAGACAACCAGGAUGUUGGCUUAGAAGCAGCCAUGCAUUUAAAGAGUGCGUAACAGCUCACUGGUCAAGUGGACAUGCGCCGACAAUACACGGGGCUAAGCGUUGUACCGAAGCAGCGGACUGUCUUAACAGUGGUAGGGGAGCUUUCCAUGCCGGGCCGAAGCGGAAGGGCGACCUUCCGUGGACUGCAUGGAAGUGAGAAUGCUGGCAUGAGUAACGAGAGAGGGGCGGGAAACCCCUCCGCCGUAAGCCUAAGGGUUCCUGGGCAAGGCUAAUCCCCCCAGGGUCAGUCGGGAGCUAAGGCGAGGCCGAGAGGCGUAGCCGAUGCGCAACAGGCGGACAUUCCUGUACCACCAGCCAGCGUUUGACGACGGGGCGACGGAGAAGGGUAGCCGGGCGGGGUUCUGGACGUCCCCGUGAAAGCGCGUAGGGAGAGCGGCAGGCAAAUCCGCCGCUCGCAUGUCCCGAGACGCGAGACGAAGCUUCAUGCGAAGCCGGCGAGCCCAUGCUUCCGAGAAAAACCUCUAAGGAGCUGAGCUGGUGCCCGUACCAAAACCGACACAGGUAGGCGGGUAGAGCAUACCAAGGCGAUCGGGAGAACCAUGGUUAAGGAACUCGGCAUACCGACUCCGUAACUUCGGGAGAAGGAGUGCCCUCUGCUGUGGAGCCCCUCGCGGGCCGAGCGGCGGAGGGUCGCAGCGAAACGGCCCAAGCGACUGUUUACCAAAAACACAGGACUCUGCUAAGCCGCAAGGCGACGUAUAGGGUCUGACGCCUGCCCGGUGCUGGAAGGUUACGCGGAUGGGUUAGCGCAAGCGAAGCCCUGAAGCCAAGCCCCAGUAAACGGCGGCCGUAACUAUAACGGUCCUAAGGUAGCGAAAUUCCUUGUCGGGUAAGUUCCGACCUGCACGAAUGGCGUAACGACUUGGGCGCUGUCUCAACCAUGGACCCGGUGAAAUUGUAUUAUUCGUGAAGAUGCGAAUUACCUGCGGAAGGACGGAAAGACCCCGUGAACCUUUACUGCAGCUUGGCAUUGGCUGUUGGUGCGGUGCGUAGAGGAUAGGCAGGAGCCUGCGAACCGGGAACGCCAGUUCCCGGGGAGGCGCCCUUGGAAUACUGCCCUCACCGCAUCGGCAGCCUAACGCGCCGCCCUCAUCGGGGGCGCGGACCGUGCCAGGUGGGUAGUUUGACUGGGGCGGUCGCCUCCUAAAACGUAACGGAGGCGUGCUAAGGUUCGCUCAGGGCGGUCGGCAAUCGCCCGCAGAGCACAAGAGUACAAGCGAGCCUGACUGCGAGACCCACAAGUCGAGCAGAGACGAAAGUCGGUUCUAGUGAUCCGGCGGCCCAGCGUGGAAUGGCCGUCGCUCAACGGAUAAAAGGUACUCCGGGGAU